Long non-coding RNA from Oncorhynchus tshawytscha (Chinook salmon), 307 nucleotides. The record is from Ensembl. NCBI's taxonomy places the organism in Eukaryota, Metazoa, Chordata, Actinopteri, Salmoniformes, Salmonidae.
CCCGGUGCAGUACAGUUUAGCCGUUACACCCCGGUGCAGUACAGUGUACAGUUUAGCCGUUACACCCAGGUGCAGUACAGUGUACAGUUUAGCCGUCACACCCCGGUGCAGUACAGUGUACAGUUUAGCCGUUACACCCAGGUGCAGUAGUGUACAGUUUAGCCGUUACACCCCGGUGCAGUACAGUGUACAGUUUAGCCGUUACACCCCGGUGCAGUACAGUGUACAGUUUAGCCGUUACACCCCGGUGCAGUACAGUGUACUGUUUAGCCGUUACACCCCGGUGCAGUACAGUGUACAGUUUAGC